RNAcentral lists this ribosomal RNA (427 nucleotides) under uncultured bacterium. Its description in RNAcentral is "partial 16S ribosomal RNA". It matches the Rfam family "Bacterial small subunit ribosomal RNA", at positions 355 to 774 of the family's 1533-position model. The record is from RNAcentral.
UGGGGAAUAUUGCACAAUGGGCGCAAGCCUGAUGCAGCCAUGCCGCGUGUAUGAAGAAGGCCUUCGGGUUGUAAAGUACUUUCAGCGGGGAGGAAGGCGAUAAGGUUAAUAACCUUGUCGAUUGACGUUACCCGCAGAAGAAGCACCGGCUAACUCCGUGCCAGCAGCCGCGGUAAUACGGAGGGUGCAAGCGUUAAUCGGAAUUACUGGGCGUAAAGCGCACGCAGGCGGUCUGUCAAGUCGGAUGUGAAAGCCCCGGGCUCAACCUGGGAACUGCAUUCGAAACUGGCAGGCUAGAGUCUUGUAGAGGGGGGUAGAAUUCCAGGUGUAGCAGUGAAAUGCGUAGAGAUCUGGAGGAAUACCGGUGGCGAAGGCGGCCCCCUGGACAAAGACUGACGCUCAGGUGCGAAAGCGUGGGGAGCAAACA